RNAcentral lists this ribosomal RNA (433 nucleotides) under uncultured bacterium. RNAcentral's name for it is "partial 16S ribosomal RNA". It matches the Rfam family "Bacterial small subunit ribosomal RNA", at positions 29 to 507 of the family's 1533-position model. The record is from RNAcentral.
AACGAACGCUGGCGGCAUGCCUAACACAUGCAAGUCGAACGAGACCUUCGGGUCUAGUGGCGUACGGGUGCGUAACGCGUGGGAACCUGCCCUUAGGUUCGGAAUAACUCCCCGAAAGGUGUGCUAAUACCGGAUAAUGUCUUCGGACCAAAGAUUUAUCGCCUUUGGAUGGGCCCGCGUUGGAUUAGCUAGUUGGUAGGGUAAAAGCCUACCAAGGCGACGAUCCAUAGCUGGUCUGAGAGGAUGAUCAGCCACACUGGGACUGAGACACGGCCCAGACUCCUACGGGAGGCAGCAGUGGGGAAUAUUGGACAAUGGGCGAAAGCCUGAUCCAGCCAUGCCGCGUGAGUGAUGAAGGCCUUAGGGUUGUAAAGCUCUUUUACCCGGGAUGAUAAUGACAGUACCGGGAGAAUAAGCUCCGGCUAACUCCGUG